This 492-nucleotide ribosomal RNA is filed under the name uncultured bacterium. Its description in RNAcentral is "partial 16S ribosomal RNA". It matches the Rfam family "Bacterial small subunit ribosomal RNA", at positions 29 to 507 of the family's 1533-position model. The record is from RNAcentral.
AGUGAACGCUGGCGGUAGGCCUAACACAUGCAAGUCGAACGGCAGCACAGUAAUAGCUUGCUCUUACGGGUGGCGAGUGGCGUACGGGUGAGGAAUACAUCGUAAUCUACUUUUUCGUGGGGGAUAACGUAGGUAAACUUACGCUAAUACCGCAUACGACCUACGGGUGAAAGCAUUGGAUCUUCUGACCUUGCGCGAUUGAAUGAGCCGAUGUGGGAUUAGCUAGUUGGCGGGUUAAAGGCCCACCAAUGCGACGAUCCGUAGCUGGUCUGAGUGGAUGAUCAGCCACACUGGAACUGAGACACGGUCCAGACUCCUACGGGAGGCAGCAGUGGGGAAUAUUGGACAAUGGGCGCAAGCAUGAUCCAGCCAUACCGCGUGGGUGAAGAAGGCCUUCGGGUUGUAAAGCCCUUUUGUUGGGAAAGAAAAGCAGCAGGUUAAUACCACGCUGUUCUGACGGUACCCAAAGAAUAAGCACCGGCUAACUUCGUG